UUAAAAAGCUCGUAGUUGGAUUUCUGUGGGGACGGAGCGGCCGGCCGCUACUAGCGGUUCGAGCUAGCGCUUUCCCUACAUCCUGCCGCGAACCGUGCUACCAUUAGUUUGGUGGCGCCGGGGAUCGGCUCGUUUACUUUGAGAAAAAUAGAGUGUUCAAAGCAGGCCACACGCCUUGAAUAAGUAGCAUGGAAUAAUAACUAAGGACUUCGGUUCUAUUUUGUUGGUGUUCGGGACUGAAGUAAUGAUUGAUAGGGACAGUUGGGGCGGUCCGUAUUCCAAAGCGAGAGGUGAAAUUCUUAGACCUUCGGAAGACGAACAGCUGCGAAAGCGUUCCGCAAGGAUGUUCCCCUUGAUCAAGAACGAAAGUUGGGGGGUCGAAGACGAUCAGAUACCGUCGUAGUCUCAACUAUAAACUAUACC
Molecule: ribosomal RNA, 423 nt
Filed under: uncultured marine eukaryote
Lineage: Eukaryota
Description: bacterial SSU rRNA
Rfam family: Eukaryotic small subunit ribosomal RNA
Source: RNAcentral